CCUAAAAAGGCCCUAUUUUCCUCUCCCACUCUCAAUCCUCGCAGGAAAAUUAAGUGGCUGUGAUGACACUUUCCAAGUAAAUCAGACAUUUGAAAGGACCCAUCUCUUGGCUGGGCGACCCGGAUUGUCUGUGAAAUGGGUUUCUAUGCCCUUUUUUUCACAUGCAACUGUAGUUGCAGCCAUGGCGAACAUGGAUCUUGUCUGAUUACGGGCAGAUCUGAGCCCUCCCUGGACCCGUGAUGUCCAUCUUUAUUUAUUUAUUUAUUUAUUAUUGUUUGGUUGGAUGUAUUUAGGGUCCUGGAUCUGUUUCCAAGUAAAUAAAUCGAGGGGCUAUGAUGAUACUUUCCAAGUAAAUCAGAGAUUAUGAAGGGCUCGUUUCUUGGCGGGGCAACCCGGAUGAUCUGUGAAAUGGGUUUCAUUUUACAGGCAACCGUAGUUGCAGCCAUGGCGUCCCAGCAGCUCGUCUGAUUACGGCCGGAUCUGAGCCUCUAUUGCCCGGUGCAUGAUAAUAGGAUCUGGAUCUUAAUAAAAAUGUGUCAUCUGUGUAGGAUUAAAGUAGUGGGAGGCCCAAAGAAGAUGAGUCAUGCUUGGUCCCGCAAAGUAUAAUUGAUCAUACCAAUCAAAUAUAAUUUCUUUUUCUUUUUUUAA
Long non-coding RNA from Vitis riparia (riverbank grape), 648 nucleotides. RefSeq lists it as uncharacterized. NCBI's taxonomy places the organism in Eukaryota, Viridiplantae, Streptophyta, Magnoliopsida, Vitales, Vitaceae. The transcript has 2 exons. The record is from RefSeq and is a predicted model, not a curated record.